Molecule: ribosomal RNA, 253 nt
Filed under: uncultured bacterium
Lineage: Bacteria
Description: partial 16S ribosomal RNA
Rfam family: Bacterial small subunit ribosomal RNA
Source: RNAcentral
GACGUAGGGCGCGAGCGUUGUCCGGAUUUAUUGGGCGUAAAGAGCUCGUAGGCGGCUUGUCGCGUCGUCCGUGAAAACUUGGGGCUCAACCCCAAGCUUGCGGUCGAUACGGGCAGGCUAGAGUUCGGUAGGGGAGACUGAAAUUCCUGGUGUAGCGGUGAAAUGCGCAGAUAUCAGGAGGAACACCAGUGGCGAAGGCGGUGCUCUGGGCCGGAACUGACGCUGAGGAGCGAAAGCGUGGGGAGCAAACAGG